ACCGAUCGCAAAAUCUUCUCCACGAUUGAUUCAUCAGACAACGUUUCACCACAGUACAGCAUCUGAUUCGUCAUCGUUUGAACUCUAGUGAAAUAUGCAACAAUUGAUUCACUCUCCUCCAUCCCUAGCAAUUCAUAUUGUCUUCGUAGGGUUUGAAGUCGCACCUUCUUCAAUUUCUGAUCACCGGCGUAGGAAUUCGCAAGAAUAUCCCACGCUUCUUUACUCGUCUCCGAUCUCGCAAUUUUCUCA
This 249-nucleotide long non-coding RNA is filed under the name Glycine max (soybean). RNAcentral describes it as "long non-coding RNA (GMAX_LNC001354)". The record is from RNAcentral. Lineage: Eukaryota; Viridiplantae; Streptophyta; Magnoliopsida; Fabales; Fabaceae.